UACACUUUAGUAUAAGAGGUACGGAAAUUUUUGAUAUUUCCAGAGGUAGUUUAAUUCUUCCAAGUGUAA
This 69-nucleotide transfer RNA is filed under the name Hemisodorcus rubrofemoratus. RNAcentral describes it as "tRNA-Gln". Lineage: Eukaryota; Metazoa; Arthropoda; Insecta; Coleoptera; Lucanidae. The record is from RNAcentral.